CCUACGGGGGGCAGCAGUAGGGAAUAUUGCUCAAUGGAGGAAACCCUGAAGCAGCAACGCCGCGUGGAGGAUGACGGUUUUCGGAUUGUAAACUCCUUUUGUUAGAGAAGAUAAUGACGGUAUCUAACGAAUAAGCACCGGCUAACUCCGUGCCAGCAGCCGCGGUAAUACGGAGGGUGCAAGCGUUACUCGGAAUCACUGGGCGUAAAGAGCGCGUAGGCGGGAUAGCAAGUCAGAUGUGAAAUCCUAGGGCUUAACCAUAGAACUGCAUUUGAAACUGUUAUUCUAGAGUAUGGGAGAGGUAGGUGGAAUUCUUGGUGUAGGGGUAAAUCCGUAGAGAUCAAGAGGAAUACUCAUUGCGAAGGCGACCUGCUAGAACAUAACUGACGCUGAUGCGCGAAAGCGUGGGGAGCAAACAGGAUUAGAUACCCCGGUAGUC
This 439-nucleotide ribosomal RNA is filed under the name uncultured bacterium. Its description in RNAcentral is "partial 16S ribosomal RNA". It matches the Rfam family "Bacterial small subunit ribosomal RNA", at positions 338 to 795 of the family's 1533-position model. The record is from RNAcentral.